Molecule: ribosomal RNA, 497 nt
Filed under: uncultured bacterium
Lineage: Bacteria
Description: partial 16S ribosomal RNA
Rfam family: Bacterial small subunit ribosomal RNA
Source: RNAcentral
GAUGAACGCUGGCGGCGUGCCUAAUACAUGCAAGUCGAGCGAACAGACGAGGAGCUUGCUCCUCUGACGUUAGCGGCGGACGGGUGAGUAACACGUGGAUAACCUACCUAUAAGACUGGGAUAACUUCGGGAAACCGGAGCUAAUACCGGAUAAUAUAUUGAACCGCAUGGUUCAAUAGUGAAAGACGGUUUUGCUGUCACUUAUAGAUGGAUCCGCGCCGCAUUAGCUAGUUGGUAAGGUAACGGCUUGCCAAGGCAACGAUGCGUAGCCGACCUGAGAGGGUGAUCGGCCACACUGGAACUGAGACACGGUCCAGACUCCUACGGGAGGCAGCAGUAGGGAAUCUUCCGCAAUGGGCGAAAGCUUGACGGAGCAACGCCGCGUGAGUGAUGAAGGUCUUCGGAUCGUAAAACUCUGUUAUUAGGGAAGAACAAAUGUGUAAGUAACUAUGCACGUCUUGACGGUACCUAAUCAGAAAGCCACGGCUAACUACGUG